This is a long non-coding RNA of Pogoniulus pusillus (Red-fronted tinkerbird), 445 nucleotides long. RefSeq lists it as uncharacterized. NCBI's taxonomy places the organism in Eukaryota, Metazoa, Chordata, Aves, Piciformes, Lybiidae. The transcript has 3 exons. The record is from RefSeq and is a predicted model, not a curated record.
GUUAAAAUCAUUGAUGAGGACUCUGCGCCGCGUGGGUUUGCAUUUCAUCUGGCGCAUUGUCUGCCCCCAGCUCCGAGGAGGAUGAUGGACUCACAGCCUGGCCUUGAGCUUUUCACUGGUCAUCUGCAGCCAUCUCCCACUGCUCUCCAGUGGGUAGCACUAAAGCUCAGCAGAUGCCCACAGGAGGAGCUGCUGAGGAGUCACAGCCACAUGUGGACAACCUCCUACCACAGCAAGGAGAGCUGCUGCUGUUCAAGGGCAGGGUCACAUUUCCAUUUCGUGGAGGCUUGGAAGGAGUCUCAGUGAGCUGUGCUGUAGAGCCUGGACGUGGGGAGAAGCAUUCAAAGUUACCCUGAUUUCUUAACCAAAAAAAAAGAUCAUCAGAGGAGCUGGGAGAGGAAAAAAAAGGUAUGUGAGGAUCAAAGGCAAUGAACUCUAUUAAGAA